This 795-nucleotide long non-coding RNA is filed under the name Carica papaya (papaya). RNAcentral describes it as "long non-coding RNA (CPAP_LNC006678)". Lineage: Eukaryota; Viridiplantae; Streptophyta; Magnoliopsida; Brassicales; Caricaceae. The record is from RNAcentral.
UCAAUCAUCAGAAAACAGGUUUCCUCUUUUACCAGUCUACUAGUAUCCCUAGGGAUCCAUAGGGGGUCCCCUCUACACGUGAACCAUUAACAUUCACAACCUGAUUCCAGGGCCGUCCCCAUACCCCGUCUGGUAUGGGUGCCAAAACCAUGAACCUCAAUACCCCAUCCGAUAUGGGGGUGAAACGGGCCGUCCCCAUCCCCGCCCGGUAUGGGCGACAAAACACAUAAAGUCUCCAUACCCCGUCCGGUAUGAGAGACCACGUUCCCGGUAGGGUUCCCUACGGACCCAGUCCAUCCACCAUCUCCUAGAUAUCUAGUCAGGCUGUCCACAUUAUCCACUUAUCAAUUCACAUAACCUUUUUGCCCUUUUUCUUGGUUUCAAUCAUCCAAACACACACAACAUGUAAACCAGUAAUGGACACCAAACAAGAUAACACAGUAUCGGAUUCAUCAUAAUACAAACCAUAAUAAAAGAAACCAUGAUUCAUGCAUACGAGACCAUAACAUAAUUACAUCAAACAUCAUGCUGCAUUUAAUACUGAAAAUUAAAUCAAACAAUAACAGACCAACACUGUAUCAGGCUCGGGCUCCACUGACAACCUUAAUCAAUCAUACAUCUAUAAAGUCACACAGUAUAGUUUAAUUAUUUAUUUAGCUUUAAUACCGUGAUAGGAAGUAGGGUGAGGGGUUCUUACUUGUUUCGGGGUCUGAAUACGGCUCUACAGUGCGCCUACAGGCUGUUCCUAAUUUUCUUGAAUUUUUUUUCAGAAACUGAAACGCACUACCGGUACCU